Molecule: ribosomal RNA, 3364 nt
Filed under: Fusarium globosum
Lineage: Eukaryota; Fungi; Ascomycota; Sordariomycetes; Hypocreales; Nectriaceae
Description: 16S ribosomal RNA
Rfam family: Bacterial large subunit ribosomal RNA
Source: RNAcentral
AGCUAUAUAUUAAAGAGAUUUAUUUAUAUAAAUAGGUUUGCUAGCUGAUUGUGUAUAUACGCAGGCCAAUGCUUCUAAUUUCAUAGCAAGCUCGCUUGCUAUGAAAUAGGCAACCAGUAAUAUAAGCAAGUGUGUGCUAUUUAUAGCGCUAGCCUACAAACCUAUAAUUAUAUUAACUCUAAGAGAAAUUUAAUAAUAAACGAAGUGAAUUGAAAUAUCUUAGUAACUUUAGGAAAAGAAAUCAAAAGAGAUUCUAUGAUUAGCGUGAGCUAAAAUAGACUAGCCUAAAAAGUCAAAUGGUGGAUAAACUGUUUAAAUUAAAUGGGGAACCUUCCUCAAAGGCUAAAUAUAAUAUAUAAGCGAUAGUGGAAAGUACCGUGAGGGAACCAAAACAAAAACAGUGAUUUUAUAAGCAGUUCGGUAAAAUAAAAAAAAAAAGUUAGAACGUACCUUUUGCAUAAUGGGUCACCAAGUUAACAUUAGAUGCGAGUAGGAGGGAGCAGCCCCGUGCAUACGUAGUUAAACCGAGCGUUAAAAUAACGGUAAGUAUCUAAAGUUAGACCCGAAGCCUGGUGAUUUUACCAUAAUCAGGAUUAUAAAAGUCCGAACGGAAUAUUGUAGCAUAAAUAUCCGAAGAAUUAUGGUAGGUGUAGUGAAAGACAAUACUGACCAGGAUAGCUGGUUUUCUGCGAAACCUAUAACAGUAGGCAAUUUAAGUAUAAUAUCUUAGCAGGUACAGAAUUUAAUCUCAGACAAGACAUAAGGCUUAGCUUGUUAGCAAGUAAAGCUCAUGUUUUAUUUUGUACAAAUUGGGGGAUCAUGAAGAUUUUAUCAGUGAGUAUGUAGACUCGGAAUGGCAAAGAUAUAUCUUAAAUCAUCAGACAUAGAAUGAUAAGGUUGUAUGUCAAAAGGGAAACAGCCCAGAACAAGAGUUAAGGUUCCUAAAUUAUUAGUUGAGUGAAAUUAAGAAGGUUUUUAUUAAAGUCGACAAGGAGAUAGGCUUAGAAGCAGCCAUAAUUUUAUGACCUCGUAACAGAGCGCUUGUUAAGUUUUAAAAGCAUCGAAAAUUUAUCGGAUCUAAACAAUAUACCGAAACCUUGUCCAUAUUAUUUUAUAAUUAAAGCUUAAUUAUAAUUAAAUGGGGUAGCAGAACGUUGAGCUAAAUUAAGAUUUUUAUUUUUUAAAUGAAAUUAUAAUAAUUUAACUCAAGUGAUAAUGGUGACAUGAGUAACUAAAAGAAAAAAUAAAAUUUUUCCGCCUAAAGCUUAUGGAUGUAAUUAAGUAACGGCCUCUAAGUUUAUAUUAUCUAAAGAUUUAAACGAUGAGAUAAUCUUUUGUACUAAGGACGAUAUUUUAAGUGAAAAAUGUACUGGAAAAAUAGUACUAAAUUUAUGGCUAUAGCUAAUUAGGGCUAUAAAAAAAAAUUUAUUUUUUUUUUAUAAAGCUCGCUAUAGCUAUAAAUGAAAAGUAACCGUACCUAGAAUCUGAAACAAGUAAGCUAGUAGAGAAUACGAAGGCGUAAAUGAGCUAACAAUCAUAAAGGAACUCGGCAAAUUGACUACCGUAACUUCGGGAUAAGGAGAGCUCAUUAUUCUUGAUUAAUAUCAGGUAAAGAGGAAGAAGCAUGAAAUAGUGUUGUACGACUGUUUAAUUAAAACACAGCACUUUGCUGAAAGAUUAAAAAUCUAAGUAUAGAGUGUGAUGUCUGCCCGGUGCCGGCUGGUUAACAGAUAUAAUUAAAUAUACUAAUAUUUGAUGUAGACGGAAACCCCGGUUAAAGGCGGCCUUAACGUGAGGGUCCUAAGGUAGCGAAAUGCCUUGGCCGUUAAAUGCGGUCUUGCAUGAAUGAUGUAACGAUACAACAGCUGUCUCUAUGAUUGACUCAGUGAAAUUGGAAUAGCUGUGCAGAUACAGUUUACCUCUAGUUAGACGAGAAGACCCUAUGCAGCUUUACUGUCACUAAUUAUAGAGUAUGAUAAACAAUUUUCAGAUUAUAAGGUAAUUGACGGCUAGCUUGUUCAGCAAGCUAGCUCUAUGACAAUGAGAAUCCUUUAUUUUUUUUUCAUAUGAAUGAAUUGGUUUAGGAUUAUGAGUAGGUAGCUGCUUCUGCUACUUGGCGCAAGCAUUGCUUGCGUCAAGUGUCUGAAGUAUGCAUUCCAGCUCAUGCAUAGUAAAUCAACCUAAUUCAGCUUAUUUUCCUUUCUGCCAUAAGCGCAUAAUGAUAGAUUUAACUUAAAUUUUGAUUUAUGCCGAGCCCCUCCGGGGCUACUGCAGAAAUAGAUAAGUACCCUUGGCUAAGGAACUAUCGCUAGGGGACAGUUUAUGUGGGGCACAGACCCUGUAAAGAGUAAACAGGAGUGUCUAAUAAUUUAUAAUUAUUUUGUUUGCGAUUUAAGAUAGUGAAACUAUUUUUAAUCAUAUAAAAUUAUUUAUAUGUACAUUCGUUGUAUAUAUAUUUAAAAAAAGGUAGGAUUUUCACUAUAUAGAAAUUAGAGAUAAUAAAAAUAUUAAGAAUAUACCUUUCAGGUAACACUAAUAUUUUUUAGCUAUUAAGACAGGCUAUCAAGCUAGGCUCUAAUAGUUAUGUAUUAAUUAUCUAAAAAGCUCAACGGCUAAAUCUUGCCUUACUGUUUGAUUAUCAACAAAUCUUACAGUUGCGUAAGCAGGGCAUAGGAUCACAAGAUGCAACAAGGAAAGAUCUUGGAUUAUUGGAAAAGCUACGCUAGGGAUAACAGGCUAAUUUGCGCAAGAGUGUACAAAAUGAGUGCGCGGUUUGGCACCUCGAUGUCGGCUUAACUUAUCCUCAUGGAUGCAGGAACUAUGUAGGGUGCGACUGUUCGUCGAUUAAAAAGUUACAUGAGCUGGGUUAAAUACGUCGUGAGACAGUAUGGUUUCUAUCUUCUAGGGGGAAUUAGAAUAUAAUAAGAACUAACUUUUGUACGAAAGGAACAAGAAGAAUUUAAUUUGUAAAAGGGUUAAAUAAUAGUUACUAACCUAUGGUUUACCUGUUGUCUAUGUGCCCAAAUAUUAAAAUAUAUAUAUGGAGGAAGCUCCUUAAGAGCUUCCCCCGCAAAUUAUAUAUAUCUGUAUAGCUAGCCUGCGGACUCCGGUUAUGCCUGAGUUUGGCAAGCUAAAGCUAUACAUAGGGAUGUUUCUUUCACUAAGAUAAAUAUAUAGCAUAGGCACGGCAGGAAAGCUAAGUUGGUUAAGGAUAAGUGCUGAAAGCAUAUAGGCACGAAGCUUAUCUUAAGAUAUUUCUUAAAUAUACGUAAAAUAUUAUUACGAAGGAUGUAAUAUAGGCUUUAUCCGUACGAAUCAGGAGAUUUUUAAGAAUAAAGUACUAAUUUUAUAAAUAACUAUUUAU